Molecule: non-coding RNA, 231 nt
Organism: Arabidopsis suecica
Lineage: Eukaryota; Viridiplantae; Streptophyta; Magnoliopsida; Brassicales; Brassicaceae
Source: the annotation of a GenBank genome assembly
AGGCCAUUGUUGUUCAGCCAAGGAUGACUUGCCGGUAGCUUUGUAUAUAUAUAACUUUACUCUAUAUUCGGUUUAUAUUAUGGAUUGGAGAUUAUGCUUAAAUAUUUUUAGUUGAUAUUUUUUCGUACGUAAUAUAAUACGAAAAAAUAUUUACUUAUUUAUAUAUGUGUUGGGGUGAGAUGUGUAACAAAGCAAGCCCGGCAAAUCAUCUCUGGCUAUGCAACUGCCUCU